AUUUUCGCAUAACUCCGAGCUUGUUCGCCUACGUUUAACUCACAAAAUAAGGCGACAAUGCCAGCAAUGAAUAGCAUUGCUCAGGGAUACGCUGGAAACGGUUUAUCCUCUCAUUUUAGAAAGGUGUCUAAUGCAACGCAUU
Molecule: non-coding RNA, 142 nt
Organism: Avibacterium paragallinarum JF4211
Lineage: Bacteria; Pseudomonadati; Pseudomonadota; Gammaproteobacteria; Pasteurellales; Pasteurellaceae
Source: Rfam